RNAcentral lists this signal recognition particle RNA (146 nucleotides) under Homo sapiens (human). RNAcentral's name for it is "Metazoan signal recognition particle RNA". It matches the Rfam family "Metazoan signal recognition particle RNA". Rfam says of the family: The signal recognition particle (SRP) is a universally conserved ribonucleoprotein. The record is from Rfam by way of RNAcentral. Lineage: Eukaryota; Metazoa; Chordata; Mammalia; Primates; Hominidae.
GCCGGGUGUCGUGGUGGGCACCUGUAAUCCCAGCUACUCGGGAGGCUGAGGUGGGAGAAUUGCUUGAGCCUGGGAGGCGGAGGUUGCAGUGAGCCAAGAUUGUGCCACUGUACUCCAGCCCAGGCAACAGAGCAAGACUCCCUCUA